CAGGGUAGCCACCCAGUAAUCAGCACAAGUUAGAAUGUGGGCAACUCGGCAGUCGUUGCGCAGGCACUUUGGUGACUCUAGAAAACUUCAGGCCGUUAGCACGUCCCCAUGAUGGCGACAACGCAUUUAGAUGUCUGCCCUAUCAACUUUCUAUGGUACUUUCUGCGCCUACCAUGGUGACCACGGGUAACGGGGAAAUAAGGGUUGAUUCCGGAGAGGGAGCCAGAGAAACGGCUACCACAUCCAAGGAAGGCAGCAGGCGUGCAAAUUACCCACUCCCGACGCGUGGAGAUAGUGA
Molecule: non-coding RNA, 298 nt
Organism: Pelobates cultripes (western spadefoot toad)
Lineage: Eukaryota; Metazoa; Chordata; Amphibia; Anura; Pelobatidae
Source: the annotation of a GenBank genome assembly